Molecule: ribosomal RNA, 468 nt
Filed under: uncultured bacterium
Lineage: Bacteria
Description: partial 16S ribosomal RNA
Rfam family: Bacterial small subunit ribosomal RNA
Source: RNAcentral
GACGAACGCUGGCGGCGUGCUUAACACAUGCAAGUCGAACGGAAAGGCCCUGCUUUUGUGGGGUGCUCGAGUGGCGAACGGGUGAGUAACACGUGAGUAACCUGCCCUUGACUUUGGGAUAACUUCAGGAAACUGGGGCUAAUACCGGAUAGGAGCUCCUGCUGCAUGGUGGGGGUUGGAAAGUUUCGGCGGUAGGGGAUGGACUCGCGGCUUAUCAGCUUGUUGGUGGGGUAGUGGCUUACCAAGGCUUUGGCGGGUAGCCGGCCUGAGAGGGUGAACGGCCACAUUGGGACUGAGAUACGGACCAGACUCCUACGGGAGGCAGCAGUGGGGAAUAUUGCACAAUGGGCGGAAGCCUGAUGCAGCAACGCCGCGUGCGGGAUGACGGCCUUCGGGUUGUAAACCGCUUUCGCCUGUGACGAAGCGUGAGUGACGGUAAUGGGUAAAGAAGCACCGGCUAACUACGUG